This 221-nucleotide ribosomal RNA is filed under the name Enterococcus faecium. RNAcentral describes it as "partial 16S ribosomal RNA". It matches the Rfam family "Bacterial small subunit ribosomal RNA", at positions 1249 to 1469 of the family's 1533-position model. The record is from RNAcentral. Lineage: Bacteria; Bacillati; Bacillota; Bacilli; Lactobacillales; Enterococcaceae.
GCGAAGUCGCGAGGCUAAGCUAAUCUCUUAAAGCUUCUCUCAGUUCGGAUUGCAGGCUGCAACUCGCCUGCAUGAAGCCGGAAUCGCUAGUAAUCGCGGAUCAGCACGCCACGGUGAAUACGUUCCCGGGCCUUGUACACACCGCCCGUCACACCACGAGAGUUUGUAACACCCGAAGUCGGUGAGGUAACCUUUUGGAGCCAGCCGCCUAAGGUGGGAUA